GACGAACGCUGGCGGCGUGCUUAACACAUGCAAGUCGUACGGUAAGGCCCUUUCGGGGGUACACGAGUGGCGAACGGGUGAGUAACACGUGAGUAACCUGCCCACAACUUUGGGAUAACGCUAGGAAACUGGUGCUAAUACUGGAUAUGUGCUCCUGCUGCAUGGGGGGGGUUGGAAAGCUCCGGCGGUUGUGGAUGGAAUCGCGGCCUAUCAGCUUGUUGGUGGGGUAGUGGCCUACCAAGGCGGCGGCGGGUAGCCGGCCUGAGAGGGUGACCGGCCACAUUGGGACUGAGAGAAGGCCCAGACACCUACGCGAGGCAGCAGGGGGGAAGAUUGAACAAUGGGCGCAAGCCUGAUGCAGCAACGCCGCGUGCGGGAAGACGGCCUUCGGGUUGUAAACCGCAUUCAGCAGGGACGAAGCUUUUUGUGACGGUACCUGCAGAAGAAGCACCGGCUAACUACGUG
RNAcentral lists this ribosomal RNA (465 nucleotides) under uncultured bacterium. Its description in RNAcentral is "partial 16S ribosomal RNA". It matches the Rfam family "Bacterial small subunit ribosomal RNA", at positions 28 to 507 of the family's 1533-position model. The record is from RNAcentral.